UACGGGGGGGGCAAGCGUUGUUCGGAAUCACUGGGCGUAAAGGGUGCGUAGGCGGGUCUUUAAGUCAGGGGGGAAAUCCUGGAGCUCAACUCCAGAACUGCCUUUGAUACUGAAGAUCUUGAGUUCGGGAGAGGUGAGUGGAACUGCGAGUGUAGAGGUGAAAUUCGUAGAUAUUCGCAAGAACACCAGUGGCGAAGGCGGCUCACUGGCCCGAUACUGACGCUGAGGCACGAAAGCGUGGGGAGCAAACAGG
This 253-nucleotide ribosomal RNA is filed under the name uncultured bacterium. RNAcentral's name for it is "partial 16S ribosomal RNA". It matches the Rfam family "Bacterial small subunit ribosomal RNA", at positions 524 to 776 of the family's 1533-position model. The record is from RNAcentral.